RNAcentral lists this ribosomal RNA (253 nucleotides) under uncultured bacterium. RNAcentral describes it as "partial 16S ribosomal RNA". It matches the Rfam family "Bacterial small subunit ribosomal RNA", at positions 524 to 776 of the family's 1533-position model. The record is from RNAcentral.
UACGAAGGGGGCUAGCGUUGUUCGGAAUUACUGGGCGUAAAGCGCACGUAGGCGGACAUUUAAGUCAGGGGUGAAAUCCCAGAGCUCAACUCUGGAACUGCCUUUGAUACUGGGGAUCUUGAGUCCGGGAGAGGUGAGUGGAACUGCGAGUGUAGAGGUGAAAUUCGUAGAUAUUCGCAAGAACACCAGUGGCGAAGGCGGCUCACUGGCCCGGUACUGACGCUGAGGCGCGAAAGCGUGGGGAGCAGACAGG